UCACAUGCUAAUGAAUCUUUCCAAAUGAC
Molecule: non-coding RNA, 29 nt
Filed under: Mus musculus (house mouse)
Lineage: Eukaryota; Metazoa; Chordata; Mammalia; Rodentia; Muridae
Source: RNAcentral